Molecule: small nucleolar RNA, 136 nt
Organism: Cynocephalus volans (Philippine flying lemur)
Lineage: Eukaryota; Metazoa; Chordata; Mammalia; Dermoptera; Cynocephalidae
Source: RefSeq, a predicted model, not a curated record
GCACUGCCUUGGAAUCUUGGUAUGUCUGGGCAUGGCCUCAGGUGUCUAGUGGCAGUGCCAGAGCAGACUGAGCUUGUUCAAAUCCAGAGCUGCUUAGAUGCCGCCUAAGCAAUUCCUUUGACAGCAAGCCACAUUU